This 460-nucleotide ribosomal RNA is filed under the name uncultured bacterium. RNAcentral describes it as "partial 16S ribosomal RNA". It matches the Rfam family "Bacterial small subunit ribosomal RNA", at positions 338 to 795 of the family's 1533-position model. The record is from RNAcentral.
CCUACGGGAGGCAGCAGUGAAGAAUAUUGGUCAAUGGACGAGAGUCUGAACCAGCCCAGUAGCGUGAAGGAUGACUGCCCUAUGGGUUGUAAACUUCUUUUAUAAAGGAAUAAAACGAGUCACGUGUACCUUUUUGCAUGUACUUUAUGAAUAAGGAACGGCUAACUCCGUGCCAGCAGCCGCGGUAAUACGGAGGAUCCGAGCGUUAUCCGGAUUUAUUGGGUUUAAAGGGAGCGUAGAUGGGUUGUUAAGUCAGUUGUGAAAUUUUGCGGCUCAACCGUAAAAUUGCAAUUGAUACUGGCAUUCUUGAGUACAGUUGAGGUAAGCGGAAUUCGUGGUGUAGCGGUGAAAUGCUUAGAUAUCACGAAGAACCCCGAUUGCGAAGGCAGCUUACUAAACUGUGACUGACAUUGAUGCUCGAAAGUGUGGGUAUCAAACAGGAUUAGAUACCCCAGUAGUC